This 253-nucleotide ribosomal RNA is filed under the name uncultured bacterium. RNAcentral's name for it is "partial 16S ribosomal RNA". It matches the Rfam family "Bacterial small subunit ribosomal RNA", at positions 524 to 776 of the family's 1533-position model. The record is from RNAcentral.
UACGUAGGGACCGAGCGUUGUCCGGAUUCAUUGGGCGUAAAGAGCUCGUAGGCGGCUGCUCAAGUCGAAUGUGAAAACUCGAGGCUCAACCUCGAGCCUGCAUUCGAUACUGGGCGGCUAGAGUCUGGUAGGGGGAUCUGGAAUUCCUGGUGUAGCGGUGGAAUGCGCAGAUAUCAGGAGGAACACCGAUGGCGAAGGCAGUCCCCUGGGCCUGUACUGACGCUCAUGCACGAAAGCGUGGGGAGCAAACAGG